RNAcentral lists this ribosomal RNA (159 nucleotides) under Staphylococcus aureus. RNAcentral describes it as "partial 23S ribosomal RNA". It matches the Rfam family "Bacterial large subunit ribosomal RNA", at positions 1 to 159 of the family's 2925-position model. Lineage: Bacteria; Bacillati; Bacillota; Bacilli; Caryophanales; Staphylococcaceae. The record is from RNAcentral.
GAUUAAGUUAUUAAGGGCGCACGGUGGAUGCCUUGGCACUAGAAGCCGAUGAAGGACGUUACUAACGACGAUAUGCUUUGGGGAGCUGUAAGUAAGCUUUGAUCCAGAGAUUUCCGAAUGGGGAAACCCAGCAUGAGUUAUGUCAUGUUAUCGAUAUGU